UCAUAUAAAACAUCCAUAAGUGCUUGAAUAUUUUCAAGAUAAUAGGGAAAUCGGUGAGAACCCGAUACAGCCCCCGCUACUGUAAUAGCUGAUGAAAUCGCGGAUGCCACUAGUGAAAGCUUAGGAAGGCGCGAAAGUAAAAGGAAGCUUAAGUCAGGAAACCUGCUUAUGUGAUGAUGCAUGC
Molecule: non-coding RNA, 184 nt
Filed under: Lysinibacillus xylanilyticus
Lineage: Bacteria; Bacillati; Bacillota; Bacilli; Caryophanales; Bacillaceae
Source: RNAcentral